UCUUUAAUAGUCUAACUGGUUAAGACGUUUUUUUUUCAAGAAAGAGAUAGGAAUUCAAAUUUCCUUUAAAGAU
Transfer RNA from Theileria parva strain Muguga, 73 nucleotides. It matches the Rfam family "tRNA". From Rfam's summary of the family: Transfer RNA (tRNA) molecules are approximately 80 nucleotides in length. The record is from Rfam. Lineage: Eukaryota; Apicomplexa; Aconoidasida; Piroplasmida; Theileriidae.